CAAUGUGCAGUUCUGAGAAGGGAUUCAGUGUGCCGUUGCUGGCUCUGAGAAGUAGGAGCCUUGUGCAAGGAUUCAGGAGAGGCCUCUAGAAACUGAGGAUGGCCCUCAACUGGCAAGCACAGGCAACUGAAUUCGGCCAGGCAUCUGGGUCCUGUGCUAGGGGCUAGGAAGACAAAGAGAAACAGAGUCACAUCCUCCCACAAAAAUCCAUGAGAUGUCGGAGAGCCGAACUUGUAAACAGCCAUCAUCAACACAAAGAAGGAUGCACUGAUGCUCUCUAGAGGCUCACAGGAAAUGAUUCAUGGGCAUAGAGCUUCUUUGCAUCCCUGGAGGAAUGAAUGACCUCCCCAUGUGCUGGGGUUGAAGUUAUGGUUGAUAACAGCAUACUGCAGAUUGACCACCCAGUGACACACUGUCAUCUCCUACAUGUCAGAGAGUCACUGCUCAUCUUUCCCCUUUGUCCGUUUGGAUUGGAGUGUCAAGCUCUGGCCUGGGCUUCAGAACUUCCAGGAUGGCAUGUGGCUCUCACAGAGAGUCUCCUCCAGCUCCCGUUCACCUUGGCUGGGGCUCUGGGCUCCUUCCUGAUCUUUCAGAUGCUCUAGGUCAUGCCGAUUAUAGCCUUACCUUGCACCCCACCAGACAGAAACAACUACCCCAGGGGCAAGCCAGGCUCGAAGGAUUUUGCUUCAAGAACCUUCCACACAAAUGUGUUUCAUUUGGGAUUUCAAAGCAUCUAUCUACCUUCUGUCUUCCUCUGUGUCAAAGGCUCUUCAUUUGUGGUCCACAUGACCUCAGACAAGUUAUUUCACCACCCAAGGCCUUUGUUUCCUCAUCUUUAAAAUAGUGGUGGUAGGGUGAUGAAUGGGACCCACUUCAUUCAGCUGUUAUUUGAAACAGCACAGACUUGGCUGCUUGACUUGACAUGAAUCCACCCACUUUCUAUGAGUUUGGGGUGAGUAACUUCUCUGAGCCUCUGUUUCCCCAGCUGUACCAUGGAAGCAAUGCUUUGUAUGCCAUAGUUUUGUUGUGAGGAUUAAAGAAAAGAACAUAUGCAUGGAGGUUAAGUCAGACCAUGAAAUACAGAAAAUGCUCAAUAUUAAUUAUUAUAAUCUUACUGUGUACUCUUGAAAGUUUAUAAGUUUAUGAAUAAUUUUGGAGGGAUGCAGCCCAUGAAUUUUCUGCAAUUAUUUGCAAAUAUUUGUGUGUCUAUCAUGUGAACCUUUUCUGGGACAAGUUUCCAUAAUACUCAUCUGAUU
Molecule: long non-coding RNA, 1256 nt
Filed under: Homo sapiens (human)
Lineage: Eukaryota; Metazoa; Chordata; Mammalia; Primates; Hominidae
Description: HSALNT0331960
Source: RNAcentral